CGUAAAGACGCAUGCAGGUGGUUUGGUUUAAGUUACAGAUGUGAAAGACCCGGGGCCGUCAACCUCCGGAAUAGCAUUUGUAAACUAGGCAGACUAGAGUACUGUAGAGGGGGGUAGGAAGUUUCUAGGUGUAGCGGUGAAAUAGCGUAGAGAUCUGAAGGAAUACCGGUGGCGAAGGCGGCCCCCUCGGACAGAUACUGACACUCAGAUGCGAAAGCGUGGGGAGCAAACAGGAUUAGAUACCCUGGUAG
This 251-nucleotide ribosomal RNA is filed under the name uncultured bacterium. Its description in RNAcentral is "partial 16S ribosomal RNA". It matches the Rfam family "Bacterial small subunit ribosomal RNA", at positions 559 to 793 of the family's 1533-position model. The record is from RNAcentral.